RNAcentral lists this ribosomal RNA (393 nucleotides) under uncultured bacterium. RNAcentral describes it as "partial 16S ribosomal RNA". It matches the Rfam family "Bacterial small subunit ribosomal RNA", at positions 523 to 918 of the family's 1533-position model. The record is from RNAcentral.
AUACGGAGGAUGCGAGCGUUAUCCGGAUUUAUUGGGUUUAAAGGGUGCGUAGGCUGUGCGUUAAGUCAGGGGUGAAAUGCCGUCGCUCAACGACGGAGCUGCCCUUGAUACUGGCGUGCUGGAGUACGGAUGCCGUUGGAGGAAUGAGUGGUGUAGCGGUGAAAUGCUUAGAUAUCACUCAGAACACCGAUUGCGAAGGCAUCGGACGAAUCCGUCACUGACGCUGAGGCACGAAAGCGGGGGGAUAGAACAGGAUUAGAUACCCUGGUAUUCCACGCCGUAAACGAUGAUGACUAACCGUCGGCGAUAGACAGCCGGUGGCCAAGCGAAAGCGAUAAGUCAUCCACCUGGGGAGUACGUCGGCAACGAUGAAACUCAAAUGAAUUGGCGGGG